GACGAACGCUGGCGGCAUGCCUAAUACAUGCAAGUCGAACGCUGAAGCACUCUGCUUGCAGAGUGCGGAUGAGUGGCGAAUGGGUGAGUAACACGUGGGGAAUCUGCCUAUAAGUGGGGGAUAACAUUCGGAAACGGAUGCUAAUACCGCAUAUAUUCUUGGACCGCCUGGUCCUUGAAAGAAAGACGGCUUUGCUGUCGCUUAUAGAUGAUCCCGCGGCGUAUUAGUUAGUUGGUGGGGUAAAGGCCUACCAAGACAAUGAUACGUAGCCGACCUGAGAGGGUGAUCGGCCACACUGGGACUGAGACACGGCCCAGACUCCUACGGGAGGCAGCAGUAGGGAAUCUUCCACAAUGGGCGAAAGCCUGAUGGAGCAAUGCCGCGUGAAUGAAGAAGGUCUUCGGAUCGUAAAGUUCUGUUAUUAGAGAAGAACAAGUCAAGGAGUAACUGUCUUGACUUUGACGGUACCUAACCAGAAAGUCACGGCUAACUACGUG
Molecule: ribosomal RNA, 497 nt
Filed under: uncultured bacterium
Lineage: Bacteria
Description: partial 16S ribosomal RNA
Rfam family: Bacterial small subunit ribosomal RNA
Source: RNAcentral